RNAcentral lists this ribosomal RNA (252 nucleotides) under uncultured bacterium. Its description in RNAcentral is "partial 16S ribosomal RNA". It matches the Rfam family "Bacterial small subunit ribosomal RNA", at positions 524 to 776 of the family's 1533-position model. The record is from RNAcentral.
UACAGAGGUCCCAAGCGUUGUUCGGAUUCACUGGGCGUAAAGGGUGCGCAGGUGGCGCUUCAAGUUUGAUGUGAAAGCUUCGGGCUUACCCGGAAAUGGCAUUGAAUACUGGAGUGCUGGAGGUUUGGAGGGGGGACUGGAAUUCUCGGUGUAGCAGUGAAAUGCGUAGAUAUCGAGAGGAACACCAGUGGCGAAGGCGAGUCCCUGGACAACACCUGACACUGAGGCACGAAAGCUAGGGGAGCAAACAGG